This 387-nucleotide ribosomal RNA is filed under the name Triticum aestivum (bread wheat). Its description in RNAcentral is "partial small subunit ribosomal RNA". Lineage: Eukaryota; Viridiplantae; Streptophyta; Magnoliopsida; Poales; Poaceae. The record is from RNAcentral.
AUGUGCAUGAGACAUGGCUACUACCUCAUACGGAUACUUUGUGCAUCCUCGGGUACCAUGGAGAAGCUAAGGAGUAAGGAGAAGAAGAAGAGGAAGAUGGAAGUGAAGACAGAGAUGAAGAAGAAGGAUUGUUUAAAGUCUCCAGGCUCCGGACGACCGACGAGCCCCGGACGUCGGACGACCUCCAGGCUCCGGACGUCUGGCCUCCUCCGGACGACCGACACUACCACACCCGAGCCAAAACAGACGGACAUCCGACGCCCUACGGACGACCGACGCCCGGACGUCCCGAUCGGACGACCGACCGAAGACAACCCGAGCCGAAUUUACGGACGUCCGACAGGCACCGGACGUCCGGACCCUCGCGAGCCUCCGGACGACCAGUGA